CGGCAAGUCUUAUACGACCAGCUCCUAUUACUCCUCCAGGGCGGGAACGCAGCAAAGGUAUAUGGUUGUAGCGGUGCGAUAUAAGUAACUUGCCAUUU
RNAcentral lists this signal recognition particle RNA (98 nucleotides) under Chitinophagaceae bacterium. RNAcentral describes it as "signal recognition particle sRNA small type". It matches the Rfam family "Bacteroidales small SRP", at positions 9 to 102 of the family's 107-position model. From Rfam's summary of the family: The non-coding component of the signal recognition particle in Bacteroides RNAcentral also lists the same sequence under 1 other name. Lineage: Bacteria; Pseudomonadati; Bacteroidota; Chitinophagia; Chitinophagales; Chitinophagaceae. The record is from RNAcentral.